UAGGGAAUCUUGCGCAAUGGGCGAAAGCCUGACGCAGCCAUGCCGCGUGUAUGAUGAAGGUCUUAGGAUUGUAAAAUACUUUCACCGGGGAAGAUAAUGACUGUACCGGGAGAAUAAGCCCCGGCUAACUCCGUG
This 135-nucleotide ribosomal RNA is filed under the name uncultured bacterium. RNAcentral describes it as "partial 16S rRNA". It matches the Rfam family "Bacterial small subunit ribosomal RNA", at positions 355 to 507 of the family's 1533-position model. The record is from RNAcentral.